GGUUGUUGUACAUGUGUCAUACACGACCAGACAUUACAUUUGUACUUCCCGGGCAUAGAAGUGGCCAGGUCUGCCAAGGGGAUUGCGCUAUCACAGAGGAAGUAUUCUUUAGAUCUCCUAAGCGAUGUAGGGAUGCUAGGAUGUCGGGCAGCAUCAACUCCAAUUGAUCAAAACCACAAAGUGACAGCUCAGUCAGGAGAGCCAGUGAAUAAGGAGAGAUAUCAAAUAUUUGUUGGGAGGUUGUUGUACCUGUGUCAUACACGACCAGACAUUACAUUUGCAGUAAGUGUUGUGAUCAAAUACAUGCAUGAGCCUAGAAGAAAAAUCUUGAGGCAGUACAUAGAAUCUUGA
RNAcentral lists this ribosomal RNA (351 nucleotides) under Triticum aestivum (bread wheat). RNAcentral describes it as "partial small subunit ribosomal RNA". Lineage: Eukaryota; Viridiplantae; Streptophyta; Magnoliopsida; Poales; Poaceae. The record is from RNAcentral.